Drosophila willistoni is the source of this 755-nucleotide long non-coding RNA. RefSeq lists it as uncharacterized. NCBI's taxonomy places the organism in Eukaryota, Metazoa, Arthropoda, Insecta, Diptera, Drosophilidae. The record is from RefSeq and is a predicted model, not a curated record. The transcript is spliced from 5 exons.
AUCUCAAUUACCAUUUGCCGGUCUUAAGACUAAUGUUUCGAUUCAGAAUGAAGAAUAGGUAUUGGUGUCCUUGUUGAACUUGUAUUUUCCUUAUUAUUUCAAUACCAUUAUCUAACUUUAUUACCAUUUGUCGGUUCCAAGACUGAAGUUCGUUAAAUGUAUAAAUUACACCACUUCUAUGUCCUCGCAAGGCGAAUAUAAGAAUACUAUAAUGGAUGAGGCUAUCUCAAAUACCAUUUGUCGGUCUUAAACUAAACUUGGAUUCAAGACGAAAAACAUUGGUGUCCUUGUUAAAUUUUUAUUUACCUUAUUAUUUCAAUACCAUUAUCCAACUCUAUUACCAUUUGUCGGUUCCAAGACUGAAGUUCGUUAAAUGUAUAAAUUACACCACUUCGAUGUCCUCGCAAGGCGAAUAUAAGAAUACUAUAAUGGAUGAGGCUAUCUCAAAUACCAUUUGUCGGUCUUAAACUAAACUUGGAUUCAAGACGAAGAACAGGUAUUGGUGUCCUUGUUGAUCUUGUAUUUUCCUUAUUAUUUCAAUACCAUUAUCUACCUCAAUUACCAUUUGCCGGUCUUAAGACAAAACUUGGAUUCUGAAUGAAGAACAGAUAUCUUUUUACGGUUCUGACAGUUCCGAAGAGUUCUCUAAACGUAUACAUUUUGUAUUGAAGUAUCUCCACCUUAUUAAGUCACCAAGGAGCUAAAUCCAUUGGCGGUGAAUUAAAAGUGAAAACUUCUGGACCAAGGAUAUUUUC